RNAcentral lists this ribosomal RNA (467 nucleotides) under uncultured bacterium. RNAcentral describes it as "partial 16S ribosomal RNA". It matches the Rfam family "Bacterial small subunit ribosomal RNA", at positions 28 to 507 of the family's 1533-position model. The record is from RNAcentral.
GAUGAACGCUGGCGGCGUGCUUAACACAUGCAAGUCGAACGGAAAGGCCCAAGCUUGCUUGGGUACUCGAGUGGCGAACGGGUGAGUAACACGUGGGUGAUCUGCCCUGCACUUCGGGAUAAGCCUGGGAAACUGGGUCUAAUACCGGAUAGGACCACUUCUUGGAUGUUGUGGUGGAAAGUUUUUUCGGUGUGGGAUGAGCUCGCGGCCUAUCAGCUUGUUGGUGGGGUAAUGGCCUACCAAGGCGUCGACGGGUAGCCGGCCUGAGAGGGUGUACGGCCACAUUGGGACUGAGAUACGGCCCAGACUCCUACGGGAGGCAGCAGUGGGGAAUAUUGCACAAUGGGCGCAAGCCUGAUGCAGCGACGCCGCGUGGGGGAUGACGGCCUUCGGGUUGUAAACUCCUUUCGCUAGGGACGAAGCGUUUUGUGACGGUAUCUGGAGAAGAAGCACCGGCUAACUACGUG